Zea mays is the source of this 3248-nucleotide RNA transcript. It is a transcript of the gene named strictosidine synthase pseudogene, with no coding region annotated. NCBI's taxonomy places the organism in Eukaryota, Viridiplantae, Streptophyta, Magnoliopsida, Poales, Poaceae. The record is from RefSeq and is marked validated.
GGAGAGGCGAGGGCAGGCGGUGGUGGCGAUGCCGAUUGCGUCCAUCGACGUGCGCUUGGUGGGGAUUGCCUCCUCCAUUUGCACAAACUUUCAAAGCAUUUUGACCCACCUUCCUUCAAUCAAGCGAUCCCUUCCCUGCCGAUCACUUCCUGGCCAGUACCAUGGCAUUGGGUCGAGCUCAGCUUCCUCCAUGCCAACCUACAACAGCAGCAGCAGGCGCCGGGUCUUAAGACCUGAAAAGGAGGCGGCGCGGAUCUGCAGUCAGUAGUAUCUUGUGCGACACCACUGCUUGUGGCCGGCGGGGCAACGACAAACACCAAGCCGAAGUGGUCCGCUCUCGAAGAAAGGUAGGCUGUAGUGCGACAUCUGCUCUGCCACGUUUCUGCUGUGGUGGUGCCGUGGUGGUGUGACUAAUCAUCAGAGAUAAGUAGCAAACCGUCAACCACCAGGGAGACGAGCCAGGCAAGUUUAUUUUCAUCUCGCUAUCUCCCUGAUAUUGGUGUCUAGAUUGAAGAUUAUGCAUCAGCGACAAGUAACGACCGCCCGGAAAGAGAGCCGGAAAAAAGGCAGGAAAUCGCCACCGCUCGCCCCUAUUUGAGCAGCCGCUUGUUCCUUCCGCGUCCUCGCUGCUCCUCAAUUCAAUUGGCUCCGUGCCGACCUCCAGGUUGAGAAGGAAAGCAUCGCGAGUUCGCCAUACGGAUGGGUUCUAAAGCGCCUUUCUGUCUCACGCUCCUCUUGCUGCUCGCCGCAGCCUGUGGACCUGCUGCACAUGCCACAAUGCUGGCAUGCAACAUCGAGGUUACUUUGUUUGUUGGAUGAAUUCAGUACGGUAAGGGCAUUCUAACUGAAGAUGGCAUUGGUCUGCUUGGAGGUACUUCCAGUCAUUUUGCAAACUAUGAUCCCCCCAUAUGGUUAGAUAGUUAUUUUUGGCAAAUGUUAUUUUAGAAAUUCAAUUUGAUAGGUUUGCCAGUCUGGUCUUGUGGGCUUCCUUCAAUCACUUUGAAUUUGUGAACUUCAUUGCAUGAUUUGCUUAGCUCAAAGUUUUUGCAGUCUAAUUAUUCUUAUAUUUUCCUCCUGAUUCUUUUUAGUUCAUUUAGUAAAUUGAUGUUGUUUUUUGCUUAAGUGGAGAAUUGAGCCGUGAUGUAAAAAAUAGCUUAGGCUAGAAAGGCACAUUUUAGAAAUUGAUAGUACUGUCGGACUGUAAUGUGUAUGAAUAGGAAAAAGUUAUCACGUUACUUUAUCAAAUCUUAUCAUUUUUCUCCUAUUCCUUCAUGUCUAUGACGUUUGCCAAAUUAUGAAUGGGGAUUCUGGUUGAAUUCGAAACAAUAAACUAAGUCUUAGGACGUCCGUUUUUUUCCUUCUGUUUUGUAUGGUGGACUGGUAGAUGGUCAAAUUCUGCCAAAUUUUCAACCUCAAAGCCUUUGAAACGGACAUUCUUUCCUCUGAGUGCAACAGUCUAGAUCAAAGAUUGAUAAUUAGAACAACUUUUAUCCUGUACCAUCUCGUCCACACCCUCAUGCUGCUUGGGGCACCCAUCACCAAGAGCCCCAAUGUUGUGCAGCGUAAACUCUGUGCCCAGAGGCAACACACACCAUACCCAAGCGACGAUGGCGGUUAUGACUGUAUGACGAGGCUCACCCGCCACCGUUCCUUGGACCGGCUUGGGGAGCGAUCUGGAAGGAUUGUUUAUGCAAAACUGAUUUGCUGUGCAGGGCUCCUAAUUCUACAUGUUGAUGACAUGUCUUUUGCACAAUAUUAAUUUUCGUGAUGGUAUAUCAUUUGACAGAAGUUGAGGCUACUGAAAGAUUCUCUGUUUUCUAAAGCUUAGACAACCAUAAAGAACUACGGGUUUAUGCAAUAUGUACUAAGUGAAGGUAUAUAUUAACCAGGUUUCUAUUUCAUGAACAGAACUAAUUAUUGGGCUUCCUAGAGUUGAUUCUGUAGAUAAACCCCCCAUAUCUGUAUUGUUAACUUUUUAAAAUUUGUAUCGUGGUAGAUUGAUAGUGACCCUAAAGCUUGCGGUCUCAUCCUUCAAAUUGUGGUCAUAAGGACAUCAUCGAUUUUUUAAACUUAUCAAGAACAUAUGAAUUCAAAAUGGGGCAGUUCUCAGUGUGCAGAAGGCGAGCUCGUCCUCUUCCUUAAUGAGGUUCUUAAGAGUGUUUCCUCAGCUGUAUUGGUUACCCUUACUACUUUGGAUUUUGGAAACAGUCCGAGACCCUUAUUAGUUAACAAUAUCAUAGUUGUUGCAAAGAUACUCUACUUUUUUUCAUCAUCUCUUCUUUACCAUUCAUAUCUCCCAGUUGUUGCAAGGGAAAAUUAACCCCAGUAAUUCUUUCUUGAGGGGUAGAACAGGAGUGUCGUUCUCAGAUUCAAUGAUUAUCAAACAACAUGUACUAAUUAUAUUUUAGCAAGCUGGCAGUUGAUGUGAUUCUCUAUGUUUACAUUUUGUCAAAUUAACGACAAGAGGGUUAAGUUUUAGAAGCAACUACCCUGCACUGGUUAAUAAUAUCUGUGAGGACCCAAGUUGGUCCCAGUCCUCUUCGAUUGGUGCUCUGUCCCUGUGAUUUGAGGAAAGUUUCAGUACAACACAUUGUAUUUUGAUUAGUGAAUGAAGCAUUUAGACGAUAUUGUUGCAGGUGUGCAUUCUCUUUCUUACAUUUGAUUUAAGCUUUCUUAUUUGAGCUUUAUGAUACUAUGUACUCAAUACUUGUGCUCUUCUAAGAUAGGUUGAGCAGAUAGUGGUUGAAAGGUCUGAAGGUUGACAUUGUGGGGACGAACCAGAAGGGCGAGUUCUGGGUGGCGAUCCACUGUCGGAGAAGUAUGUAUCCUCGGCUAAUGAGCUGCCAUGUCAAGCUGAGGAAGUUUUUGCUCAGCUUCCCAAUCCCUGCCAAGUACCACUACCUGAUGCAUAUCGAUAGCAAGCUCUACGCGUUGAUCAUCAGGGACAGCCCGAUGGCCAGAUGCUUCACAUCAUGGAGGACGGCAAGGGAGAGGUGGUGAGAGUUAUCAUCGAAGUGGAGGGUCCGUCUGAUGCCAUUCAUCGUUGUCUUUGACCUCGUGAAGGCGUCUUAGCCACUUCAAUUUGAUUGGAAAUAUUGUUGUUUUAAGAUACGGGUCCAUGGUUAAUGUUGUACGCUUCUCUGCUUCUCUGAGAAGACCUGUCAUUUUAAUAAUUUGGUUCUGGAGCAACCUGGAGCUGUAUAUUGAUCUAGCUUCUUUUAGUAACAAAUGUAAGUUGCUCACAUUUU